Sinocyclocheilus rhinocerous is the source of this 98-nucleotide long non-coding RNA. RefSeq lists it as uncharacterized. The record is from RefSeq and is a predicted model, not a curated record. Lineage: Eukaryota; Metazoa; Chordata; Actinopteri; Cypriniformes; Cyprinidae. The transcript has 3 exons.
UAAGAUCACAGACAACCUCCACAAUUAUUACAAAUGACUGUAGGUCACCAGGUAAUAAUAAUCCCAUGUGAAUAGGGCUUUAGAGUAAGGAAAGCACA